RNAcentral lists this ribosomal RNA (469 nucleotides) under Blastocystis sp. RNAcentral's name for it is "SSU rRNA". It matches the Rfam family "Eukaryotic small subunit ribosomal RNA", at positions 15 to 491 of the family's 1831-position model. Lineage: Eukaryota; Bigyra; Opalinata; Blastocystidae. The record is from RNAcentral.
UGCCAGUAGUCAUACGCUCGUCUCAAAGAUUAAGCCAUGCAUGUGUAAGUAUAAAUAAUUUUACUUUGAAACUGCGAAUGGCUCAUUAUAUCAGUUAUAGUUUAUUAGAAAUAUUUUACUACUUGGAUAACCGUAGUAAUUCUAGGGCUAAUACAUGAGUAAAACCUCAACUUCGGAAGAGGUGUGUUUAUUAGUAUGAAAACCAUAUAUCUUCGGAUAUAAUAGUGAGUAAUAAUAACCUUUCAUAUCGUAUGUCGUAAGAUAACGAUAGUUCUUUCAAGUUUCUGCCCUAUCAGCUUUCGAUGGUAGUAUAUGGGACUACCAUGGCAGUAACGGGUAACGAAGAAUUUGGGUUCGAUUUCGGAGAGGGAGCCUGAGAGAUGGCUACCACAUCCAAGGAAGGCAGCAGGCGCGUAAAUUACCCAAUCCUGACAUAGGGAGGUAGUGACAAUAAAUCACAAUGCGGAAC